RNAcentral lists this ribosomal RNA (212 nucleotides) under uncultured Veillonellaceae bacterium. RNAcentral's name for it is "partial 16S ribosomal RNA". It matches the Rfam family "Bacterial small subunit ribosomal RNA", at positions 138 to 334 of the family's 1533-position model. Lineage: Bacteria; Bacillati; Bacillota; Negativicutes; Veillonellales; Veillonellaceae. The record is from RNAcentral.
GGGGGACAACAGUUGGAAACGACUGCUAAUACCGCAUACGAUCUAAUCUCGGCAUCGAGGAUAGAUGAAAGGUGGCCUCUAUGUAUAAGCUAUCACUGAAGGAGGGGAUUGCGUCUGAUUAGCUAGUUGGAGGGGUAACGGCCCACCAAGGCGAUGAUCAGUAGCCGGUCUGAGAGGAUGAACGGCCACAUUGGGACUGAGACACGGCCCAG